RNAcentral lists this unclassified non-coding RNA (624 nucleotides) under Hevea brasiliensis (rubber tree). Lineage: Eukaryota; Viridiplantae; Streptophyta; Magnoliopsida; Malpighiales; Euphorbiaceae. The record is from RNAcentral.
AACACGCAAGCUGAGAACUUGGAAAGACCAUUGCAGAGAAAAUCCAUGAAAAGUAAUGGGAAUUUGACUCCAAGAAAGUCCAUAAAAUGUAAUGGUAACUAGACUCCUCCUAAACGUGGCAAGGUUCGAAAUUCUGCUUCUUCAACAGUCCGAAUGACUCCAGGAUCAACUUCUUUCACUAUCAGGAAGAAUAAAAAAAGUGAUGCCAAAUUUAACCAAGUUUUAUAGUGGCAAGAAAAUUGGCGAGCAUCCAUGAGAGCUUAUCUAUGCUUGAUGUUUAAGGUCCUUAGAAAUAGCAUUGAGAUUCAGUUGGAAAAAGAAUUGCUGCAUAGAUUGAGUGUUCCAAGCUAACAGUUUCCCUUAUUGUUUUUGUAAUUGGUGCUUUGUCUUCCGAGUUUCAACAGUAUUACUUUCAUGCGCUUGCUUAGUCGCUUGGACCUCCAGGUUGAGGGCGUGAGGCAUUCAUGUAUGGUAAACUGCAACCUGUGAACGAGUCAUUUUCUCAAUUUUAAGCAUUAGACAUAUGAAAAUGUAAGGAGAAAAGGGUCAACCCCUGACGAGUUGUGCGAAUUUUCUUAAUAUCAUUAAUUUUUGUUUGCCAAGGGCUUUACUUGGUGUUAUUCG